GACGAACGCUGGCGGCGUGCUUAAUACAUGCAAGUCGAACGCUACUUUCCUGCUUUUGUGGUGCGCUCGAGUGGCGAACGGGUGAGUAACCCGUUAGUUACCUCCCCUUUAAUUUGGGCUUCAUUCAGGAAACUCAGGCUGAUACCGGAUCUAAUACCCUGUUGCAUUUUGUGCGUUGUAGCGUUUCGGCGGUUGGCGCUGGCCUCGCGGCUUAUCGGCUUGUUCGUGGGGUAGUGGCUUACCAAGGGUGUGACGGGUAGCCGGCCUGAGAGGGUGACCGGCCACAAGGGGACUGCGAGACGGACCAGACGCCUACGGGAGGCAGCAGUGGGGAGUAUGGCAGAAUGGGCGGAAGCGUGAGGCGACAACGCCGCGUGCGUGAUGAUGGGCUGCGAGUUGUAAACCGCUUUCGCAGGUGAUGAAGCGUGAGUGACGGUAAUGGGUAAGGAAGCAACGGCUAACUACGUG
RNAcentral lists this ribosomal RNA (468 nucleotides) under uncultured bacterium. RNAcentral describes it as "partial 16S ribosomal RNA". It matches the Rfam family "Bacterial small subunit ribosomal RNA", at positions 28 to 507 of the family's 1533-position model. The record is from RNAcentral.